This 74-nucleotide transfer RNA is filed under the name Buchnera aphidicola (Cinara tujafilina). RNAcentral's name for it is "tRNA-Thr (GGT) (tRNA-Thr-GGT-1-1)". It matches the Rfam family "tRNA". From Rfam's summary of the family: Transfer RNA (tRNA) molecules are approximately 80 nucleotides in length. Their secondary structure includes four short double-helical elements and three loops (D, anti-codon, and T loops). The record is from Rfam by way of RNAcentral. Lineage: Bacteria; Pseudomonadati; Pseudomonadota; Gammaproteobacteria; Enterobacterales; Erwiniaceae.
GCUGAUAUAGCUCAGAUUGGUAGAGCACAUCCAUGGUAGGGAUGAGGUCCCUAGUUCAAUUCUAGGUAUCAGCA